Molecule: ribosomal RNA, 279 nt
Filed under: uncultured bacterium
Lineage: Bacteria
Description: partial 16S ribosomal RNA
Rfam family: Bacterial small subunit ribosomal RNA
Source: RNAcentral
UGCCAGCCGCCGCGGUAACACGGGGGGCGCAAGCGUUAUUCGGAAUUAUUGGGCGUAAAGGGCGCGUAGGCGGUCUUGUCAGUCAGGUGUGAAAGCCCGGGGCUCAACCCCGGACGUGCAUUUGAAACAGCAAGACUUGAGUACGGGAGAGGAGAGAGGAAUUCCUGGUGUAGAGGUGAAAUGCGUAGAUAUCAGGAAGAACACCGGUGGCGAAGGCGACCUCCUGGAUUGAUUCUGACACUGAGGUGCGAAAGCGUGGGGAGCAAACAGGAUUAGAUA